RNAcentral lists this ribosomal RNA (624 nucleotides) under Bacillus sp. (in: firmicutes). RNAcentral describes it as "bacterial SSU rRNA". It matches the Rfam family "Bacterial small subunit ribosomal RNA", at positions 79 to 687 of the family's 1533-position model. The record is from RNAcentral. Lineage: Bacteria; Bacillati; Bacillota; Bacilli; Caryophanales; Bacillaceae.
CUUGCUCCUGUUGGUUAGCGGCGGACGGGUGAGUAACACGUGGGCAACCUGCCUGUAAGACUGGGAUAACUUCGGGAAACCGGAGCUAAUACCGGAUAAUCCUUUUCCUCUCAUGAGGAAAAGCUGAAAGUCGGUUUUUACUUGACCCUUACAAAGGGGCCCGCGGCGCUUUACCUAUUUGGGGAGGAAAGGGUUCCCCAAGGCGACAAUGCGUACCCGACCUGAAAGGGGGAUCGGCCACCCUGGAACUGAAACCCGGCCCAAACUCCUACGGAAGGCAGCAGAAGGAAAUCUUCCGCAAGGGACAAAAGUCUGACGGACCAACGCCGCGGGAGCGAUGAAGGCCUUCGGGUCGAAAAGUUCUGUUGUUAGGAAAAAACAAGAAUCGAAGUAACUGCCGAUACCUUGACGGAACCUACCCAAAAAGCCACGGUUAACUACGUGCCACCAGCCGCGGAAAUACGUAGGGGGCAAGCGUUGUCCGGAAUUAUUGGGCGUAAAGCGCGCGCAGGCGGUCCUUUAAGUCUGAUGUGAAAGCCCACGGUUCAACCGUGAAGGGUCAUUGAAAACUGGGGAACUUGAGUGCAGAAGAGGAAAGCGAAAUUCCACGUGUAGCGGUGAAAU